GAUGAACGCUGGCGGCGUGCCUAAUACAUGCAAGUCGAGCGAACGGACGAGAAGCUUGCUUCUCUGAUGUUAGCGGCGGACGGGUGAGUAACACGUGGAUAACCUACCUAUAAGACUGGGAUAACUUCGGGAAACCGUAGCUAAUACCGGAUAAUAUUUUGAACCGCAUGGUUCAAAAGUGAAAGACGGUCUUGCUGCCACUUAUAGAUGGAUCCGCGCUGCAUUAGCUAGUUGGUAAGGUAACGGCUUACCAAGGCAACGAUGCAUAGCCGACCUGAGAGGGUGAUCGGCCACACUGGAACUGAGACACGGUCCAGACUCCUACGGGAGGCAGCAGUAGGGAAUCUUCCGCAAUGGGCGAAAGCCUGACGGAGCAACGCCGCGUGAGUGAUGAAGGUCUUCGGAUCGUAAAACUCUGUUAUUAGGGAAGAACAUAUGUGUAAGUAACUGUGCACAUCUUGACGUUACCUAAUCAGAAAGCCACGGCUAACUACGUG
This 497-nucleotide ribosomal RNA is filed under the name uncultured bacterium. RNAcentral describes it as "partial 16S ribosomal RNA". It matches the Rfam family "Bacterial small subunit ribosomal RNA", at positions 28 to 507 of the family's 1533-position model. The record is from RNAcentral.